RNAcentral lists this ribosomal RNA (253 nucleotides) under uncultured bacterium. RNAcentral's name for it is "partial 16S ribosomal RNA". It matches the Rfam family "Bacterial small subunit ribosomal RNA", at positions 524 to 776 of the family's 1533-position model. The record is from RNAcentral.
UACGAAGGGGGCUAGCGUUGCUCGGAAUCACUGGGCGUAAAGGGUGCGUAGGCGGGUCUUUAAGUCAGGGGUGAAAUCCUGGAGCUCAACUCCAGAACUGCCUUUGAUACUGAAGAUCUUGAGUUCGGGAGAGGUGAGUGGAACUGCGAGUGUAGAGGUGAGAUUCGUAGAUAUUCGCAAGAACACCAGUGGCGAAGGCGGCUCACUGGCCCGAUACUGACGCUGAGGCACGAAAGCGUGGGGAGCAAACAGG